ACAAACUUGGUCAUUUAGAGGAAGUAAAAGUCGUAACAAGGUUUCCGUAGGUGAACCUGCGGAAGGAUCAUUAACGAAGCUGAACACAAGUAGUUGCUGGCUCUCUAGGGAGCACUGUGCACACUUGUAAGUCUUCAACUCUUCCCCUUUGUGCACCUUUGGCUAGUACUUAUUGAAGUGAGAGAUUUCUUUGUAACAGAGGAAGUCUUGUUUGAGCUUUAGUAUCUUGUACUAUGCAACUUUUAUAAACGUAUGUCUUUGAAAGUCUUUGCAAGGUCUUUGUACCUGUAAAAUCUAUACAACUUUUAGCAACGGAUCUCUUGGCUCUCGCAUCGAUGAAGAACGCAGC
This 349-nucleotide unclassified non-coding RNA is filed under the name uncultured fungus. RNAcentral describes it as "partial contains small subunit ribosomal RNA, internal transcribed spacer 1, and 5.8S ribosomal RNA". The stretch from base 1 to 73 matches the Rfam family "Eukaryotic small subunit ribosomal RNA", at positions 1759 to 1831 of the family's 1831-position model. The record is from RNAcentral. Lineage: Eukaryota; Fungi.